Molecule: ribosomal RNA, 253 nt
Filed under: uncultured bacterium
Lineage: Bacteria
Description: partial 16S ribosomal RNA
Rfam family: Bacterial small subunit ribosomal RNA
Source: RNAcentral
UACGGAGGAUGCAAGCGUUAUCCGGAAUGAUUGGGCGUAAAGCGUCCGCAGGUGGCUAUGUAAGUCUGCUGUUAAAGAGUGAGGCUCAACCUCAUAAAAGCAGUGGAAACUACAUGGCUAGAGUGCGUUCGGGGCAGAGGGAAUUCCAGGUGUAGCGGUGAAAUGCGUAGAUAUCUGGAGGAACACCGGUGGCGAAGGCGGCAUCCUGGACCGGCAUUGACGCUGAGGCGCGAAAGCUAGGGGAGCAAACGGG